CUACGGGCUGCACCAGUGAGGAAUAUUGCACAAUGGGGGGAACCCUGAUGCAGCAACGCCGCGUGGAGGAUGACGCAUUUCGGUGUGUAAACUCCUUUUAUAUGCCAAGAAAAUGACGGUAGCAUAUGAAUAAGCACCGGCUAACUCCGUGCCAGCAGCCGCGGUAAUACGGAGGGUGCAAGCGUUACUCGGAAUCACUGGGCGUAAAGGACGCGUAGGCGGGUUGGAAAGUCAGGUGUGAAAUCCUACAGCUUAACUGUAGAACUGCACUUGAAACUUCUAAUCUAGAGUAUGGGAGGGGGAGAUGGAAUUAGUGGUGUAGGGGUAAAAUCCGUAGAUAUCACUAGGAAUACCUAAAGCGAAGGCGAUCUCCUGGAACAUUACUGACGUUAAGGCGUGAAAGCGUGGGGAGCAAACAGGAUUAGAUACCCCAGUAGUC
This 439-nucleotide ribosomal RNA is filed under the name uncultured bacterium. RNAcentral's name for it is "partial 16S ribosomal RNA". It matches the Rfam family "Bacterial small subunit ribosomal RNA", at positions 339 to 795 of the family's 1533-position model. The record is from RNAcentral.